Molecule: unclassified non-coding RNA, 158 nt
Filed under: uncultured fungus
Lineage: Eukaryota; Fungi
Description: sequence contains ITS1
Source: RNAcentral
CCAUUUGCUCACGGGUGCAGUCUUGGGAAACCUGGCGGCCCCGAGCUUACCAUCCCUGCCUAUCCACACCUCACGUUACCUUCGGCAGGGCAGCCUGCCGCUGGACAAUUUCAAACCCACUGUAUCCAGUAUCCACCUUCCGAGCAUUUGAAUUAUCA